AGUUGAGUUGAGUUGAGUUGUUCAUUUGUAAGCACCUUAUCACAAUCCCAAGCCCUAGAACAGUAGUUCAAAAGUCGCAAAGUUGUUUAAAGUGCAGAUUAAAAUCAAAUAGAGGCUGCAGCCGUUGCUUAUGUUAAUUUAUAUACAGAUAUUGACACAUAUGAGAUGUUCCAAACAAUUGCUAUUAUCAAAAUAGCAUCGGUUGCAGCUUCAUGGGUCUUCUGCAAGAAAGACAGAACCGAUUAACCCAUGGAUGAAAAAACUUUGAUUGCAAAAUAGAUCCAUACCCUUUUGGGAUUGAUUAUACCUUAUCUAAUUUUCUUUGUAAGAGUAUAUUGAUAUACAUUAAAGUGCUAAUAACAUGAUUUUAUAUAUGGGCCAUUGCAGACCAAUUCAGCCAAUUUUGUUAUACCUGUUUGUCAAUCUAUUAUUUAAAACCCUGUUUGCUAAAGGUUUUCAAAAAAAAAAAAUCAUGAAAUCAGCAGCUGAUUCAGUGCAUUUCAGAUUGAUUCAGUCUUAUUCCAUUAUUUAAAACCCUGGAUAGUAAUGCUAACAUUACUAUUAGAAGCCCACUUAAAGAACUUUAGACUGGUAAUAUCUCAAUUUAAGUCCAAAAAAGGUAAUAACUGAAUCUUUAACUGGUACUCCAUUACUCCAUCUAUAGCCAACAAGCAUGAUGGCCUAUUGCAUACUUUACCAAAGAGUACGCAAUCCUGCAGGUGCAAAUACGUGA
Molecule: unclassified non-coding RNA, 733 nt
Filed under: Hevea brasiliensis (rubber tree)
Lineage: Eukaryota; Viridiplantae; Streptophyta; Magnoliopsida; Malpighiales; Euphorbiaceae
Source: RNAcentral